This is a long non-coding RNA of Zingiber officinale, 806 nucleotides long. RefSeq lists it as uncharacterized. The record is from RefSeq and is a predicted model, not a curated record. The transcript is spliced from 3 exons. Lineage: Eukaryota; Viridiplantae; Streptophyta; Magnoliopsida; Zingiberales; Zingiberaceae.
CUGAACCCCUCUCCUUCCCUUGCGAUUUUCGCCGAUCGCCCCACACUCGACGCCGAGCUUCUCCUCCCUUUCCUUCUCAUCUUCCCCUUCCUCUUCCUUAUCUCCUCCUCUCACCACCGCACACAACCAUCUCGAUUCUUCCUUCCCCGAAGCCCUAGCGAUGUCGAUCCCUUUCUAUGUCACUACCGGCAACCACGGCCUGACCUCGGUCGUCGCCGCCCGUCGCCGGCCAACCACCACUUUUCUCCUCCUGAUUCGCACCAUCGCAGUCGAGCCCUCUUCCUAUCGGCUGAUCGUCCGACACCGUCACCUCCUCGCUGGAGCAGACUACUGGACGGCGCCGCGCUGCCGCCUGUCUCCCAUAGUCGCCGACUGUCGGAGCCUUCAGAGUUGACAACCAUCUCCCUUUCUUCAACGUGCAGCAAGGCUUCGCCGGAGAUGCCACCUUGCUUUGGACUUUUGGGAAGGGUUGUCCGGCCUUGUUUGGCCAACAUAUCUUUCGAUGGCUUCAACUCAUCAUUGAGGGUGCCUUGUUAUCGGCUGCCACGUUUGAGUAACCUUACCUAGUUUGGCUACAACUUCCUACAGCCAUUGCUCCAGCCGCAAGUCAACAGAAGAGCAUACAAAUUUAGAUUUGCACACUCAGGUUUCAAUAGCCUUUGGGGCUAACAUGUGAAGCUUGUGGUGCCCCAAAAACUAAAGUACAUCACAUUUUUCCUGGUGAAUCUUGCUGACAAAUUUGGAUUGAUAGAAUUUUUUGGAAAGGGUAGACUUAAUUCGACCAAAUAAAGAAAUAUUUGUUUGUU